GUCGAACGGCAGCACGGAGCUUGCUCUGGUGGCGAGUGGCGAACGGGUGAGUAAUAUAUCGGAACGUACCCUGGAGUGGGGGAUAACGUAGCGAAAGUUACGCUAAUACCGCAUACGAUCUACGGAUGAAAGUGGGGGAUCGCAAGACCUCAUGCUCGUGGAGCGGCCGAUAUCUGAUUAGCUAGUUGGUAGGGUAAAAGCCUACCAAGGCAUCGAUCAGUAGCUGGUCUGAGAGGACGACCAGCCGCACUGGAACUGAGACACGGUCCAGACUCCUACGGGAGGCAGCAGUGGGGAAUUUUGGACAAUGAGCGAAAGCCUGAUCCAGCAAUGCCGCGUGAGUGAAGAAGGCCUUCGGGUUGUAAAGCUCUUUUGUCAGGGAAGAAACGGUGAGGGCUAAUAUCCCUUGCUAAUGACGGUACCUGAAGAAUAAGCACCGGCUAACUACGUGCUAGCAGCCGCGGUAAUACGUAGGGUGCAAGCGUUAAUCGGAAUUACUAGGCGUAAAGCGUGCGCAGGCGGUUUUGUAAGUCUGAUGUGAAAUCCCCGGGCUCAACCUGGGAAUCGCAUUGGAGACUGCAAGGCUAGAAUCUGGCAGAGGGGGGUAGAAUUCCACGUGUAGCAGUGAAAUGCGUAGAUAUGUGGAGGAACACCGAUGGCGAAGGCAGCCCCCUGGGUCAAGAUUGACGCUCAUGCACGAAAGCGUGGGGAGCAAACAGGAUUAGAUACCCUGGUAGUCCACGCCCUAAACGAUGUCUACUAGUUGUCGGGUCUUAAUUGACUUGGUAACGCAGCUAACGCGUGAAGUAGACCGCCUGGGGAGUACGGUCGCAAGAUUAAAACUCAAAGGAAUUGAC
This 857-nucleotide ribosomal RNA is filed under the name uncultured bacterium. Its description in RNAcentral is "bacterial SSU rRNA". It matches the Rfam family "Bacterial small subunit ribosomal RNA", at positions 61 to 914 of the family's 1533-position model. The record is from RNAcentral.